This 144-nucleotide ribosomal RNA is filed under the name Glossina pallidipes. RNAcentral describes it as "5.8S ribosomal RNA". It matches the Rfam family "5.8S ribosomal RNA". From Rfam's summary of the family: 5.8S ribosomal RNA (5.8S rRNA) is a component of the large subunit of the eukaryotic ribosome. It is transcribed by RNA polymerase I as part of the 45S precursor that also contains 18S and 28S rRNA. The record is from RNAcentral. Lineage: Eukaryota; Metazoa; Arthropoda; Insecta; Diptera; Glossinidae.
CACUGUAAGCGGCCGAUCACUCGGAUCAGGGCUCGAUGAAGGACACAGCAAAUUGUACAACAUGGUGUGACCUGCAGGACCCAUAAACAUUGUCAUUUGAAUACAUAUCACUGUCCAUGCCGUAAAGUACUUUAUUCAAUUUUG